AUUGAACGCUGGCGGCAGGCCUAACACAUGCAAGUCGAGCGGAUGAAGGGAGCUUGCUCCUGGAUUCAGCGGCGGACGGGUGAGUAAUGCCUAGGAAUCUGCCUGGUAGUGGGGGAUAACGUCCGGAAACGGGCGCUAAUACCGCAUCCGUCCUGAGGGAGAACGUGGGGGAUCUUCGGACCUCACGCUAUCAGAUGAGCCUAGGCCGGAUUAGCUAGUUGGUGGGGUAAAGGCCUACCAAGGCGACGAUCCGUAACUGGUCUGAGAGGAUGAUCAGUCACACUGGAACUGAGACACGGUCCAGACUCCUACGGGAGGCAGCAGUGGGGAAUAUUGGACAAUGGGCGAAAGCCUGAUCCAGCCACGCCGCGUGUGUGAAGAAGGUCUUCGGAUUGUAAAGCACUUUAAGUUGGGAGGAAGGGCAGUAAGUUAAUCCCUUGCUGUUUUGACGCUACCAACAGAAUAAGCACCGGCUAACUUCGUG
RNAcentral lists this ribosomal RNA (484 nucleotides) under uncultured bacterium. RNAcentral describes it as "partial 16S ribosomal RNA". It matches the Rfam family "Bacterial small subunit ribosomal RNA", at positions 30 to 507 of the family's 1533-position model. The record is from RNAcentral.